RNAcentral lists this ribosomal RNA (450 nucleotides) under Escherichia coli. RNAcentral's name for it is "partial 16S ribosomal RNA". It matches the Rfam family "Bacterial small subunit ribosomal RNA", at positions 292 to 734 of the family's 1533-position model. The record is from RNAcentral. RNAcentral also lists the same sequence under 1 other name. Lineage: Bacteria; Pseudomonadati; Pseudomonadota; Gammaproteobacteria; Enterobacterales; Enterobacteriaceae.
CUGAGAGGAUGACCAGCCACACUGGAACUGAGACACGGUCCAGACUCCUACGGGAGGCAGCAGUGGGGAAUAUUGCACAAUGGGCGCAAGCCUGAUGCAGCCAUGCCGCGUGUAUGAAGAAGGCCUUCGGGUUGUAAAGUACUUUCAGCGGGGAGGAAGGGAGUAAAGUUAAUACCUUUGCUCAUUGACGUUACCCGCAGAAGAAGCACCGGCUAACUCCGUGCCAGCAGCCGCGGUAAUACGGAGGGUGCAAGCGUUAAUCGGAAUUACUGGGCGUAAAGCGCACGCAGGCGGUUUGUUAAGUCAGAUGUGAAAUCCCCGGGCUCAACCUGGGAACUGCAUCUGAUACUGGCAAGCUUGAGUCUCGUAGAGGGGGGUAGAAUUCCAGGUGUAGCGGUGAAAUGCGUAGAGAUCUGGAGGAAUACCGGUGGCGAAGGCGGCCCCCUGGAC